UACGUAGGGGGCUAGCGUUGUCCGGAAUCAUUGGGCGUAAAGCGCGUGUAGGCGGUCCGGUAAGUCCGCUGUGAAAGUCGGGGGCUCAACCCUCGGAUGCCGGUGGAUACUGUCGGGCUUGAGUACGGAAGAGGCGAGUGGAAUUCCUGGUGUAGCGGUGAAAUGCGCAGAUAUCAGGAGGAACACCAAUUGCGAAGGCAGCUCGCUGGGACGUUACUGACACUAAGGCGCGAAAGCGUGGGGAGCGAACAGG
This 253-nucleotide ribosomal RNA is filed under the name uncultured bacterium. RNAcentral's name for it is "partial 16S ribosomal RNA". It matches the Rfam family "Bacterial small subunit ribosomal RNA", at positions 524 to 776 of the family's 1533-position model. The record is from RNAcentral.